UUGAUAGAUCAUAAUGCCUGGAAUGGUUUAUGGUUAAAAUGAUUCGUCGCCAUAGGAUGGGACUGCGGCCUAUCAGCUUGUUGGUGAGGUAAUGGCCCACCAAGGCGAUAACAGGUACGGGCUCUGAGAGGAGAAGCCCGGAGAUGGGUACUGAGACAAGGACCCAGGCCCUAUGGGGCGCAGCAGGCGAGAAAACUUUGCAAUGUGCGAAAGCACGACAAGGUUAAUCCGAGUGAUUUCUGCUAAAGAGAUCUUUUGCUAGUCAUAAAACCACUAGUGAAUAAGGGGUGGGCAAGUUCUGGUGUCAGCCGCCGCGGUAAAACCAGCACCUCAAGUGGUCAGGAUGAUUAUUGGGCCUAAAGCAUCCGUAGCCGGCUCUGUAAGUUUUCGGUUAAAUCUAUGCGCUCAACGUAUGGGCUGCCGAAAAUACUGCAGAGAUAGGGAGUGGGAGAGGUAGACGGUACUCGGUAGGAAGGGGUAAAAUCCUUUGAUCUAUCGAUGACCACCUGUGGCGAAGGCGGUCUACCAGAACACGUUCGACGGUGAGGGAUGAAAGCUGGGGGAGCAAACCGGAUUAGAUACCCGGGUAGUCCCAGCUGUAAACGAUGC
This 609-nucleotide ribosomal RNA is filed under the name uncultured archaeon. Its description in RNAcentral is "bacterial SSU rRNA". It matches the Rfam family "Archaeal small subunit ribosomal RNA", at positions 153 to 763 of the family's 1478-position model. The record is from RNAcentral.